RNAcentral lists this ribosomal RNA (367 nucleotides) under uncultured Arcobacter sp. RNAcentral describes it as "bacterial SSU rRNA". It matches the Rfam family "Bacterial small subunit ribosomal RNA", at positions 1013 to 1382 of the family's 1533-position model. Lineage: Bacteria; Pseudomonadati; Campylobacterota; Epsilonproteobacteria; Campylobacterales; Arcobacteraceae. The record is from RNAcentral.
UGCUAGCUUGCUGAAUUAGAUACAGGUGGCUGCACGGCUGUCGUCAGCUCGUGUCGUGAGAUGUGGGUUAAGUCCCGCAACGAGCGCAACCUCGUGUUUAGUUGCUAACAGUUCGGCUGAGAACUCUAAACAGACUGCCUACGCAAGUAGGAGGAAGGUGAGGACGACGUCAAGUCAUCAUGGCCCUUACGGCCAGGGCUACACACGUGCUACAAUGGGGUAUACAAAGAGCAGCGAUACGGUGACGUGGAGCAAAUCUAGAAAAUGCCUCUCAGUUCGGAUUGUAGUCUGCAACUCGACUACAUGAAGUUGGAAUCGCUAGUAAUCGUAGAUCAGCAAUGCUACGGUGAAUACGUUCCCGGGUCUU